This 253-nucleotide ribosomal RNA is filed under the name uncultured bacterium. RNAcentral describes it as "partial 16S ribosomal RNA". It matches the Rfam family "Bacterial small subunit ribosomal RNA", at positions 524 to 776 of the family's 1533-position model. The record is from RNAcentral.
UACGUAGGGUGCGAGCGUUGUCCGGAAUUACUGGGCGUAAAGAGCUCGUAGGUGGUUUGUCGCGUUGUCCGUGAAAACUCACAACUCAAUUGUGGGCGUGCGGGCGAUACGGGCAGACUGGAGUACUGCAGGGGAGACUGGAAUUCAUGGUGUAGCAGUGAAAUGCGUAGAGAUCAUGAGGAAGACCAGUGGCGAAGGCGGGUCUCUGGACAGUUCCUGACACUGAGGCACGAAGGCCAGGGGAGCAAACGGG